RNAcentral lists this ribosomal RNA (253 nucleotides) under uncultured bacterium. RNAcentral's name for it is "partial 16S ribosomal RNA". It matches the Rfam family "Bacterial small subunit ribosomal RNA", at positions 524 to 776 of the family's 1533-position model. The record is from RNAcentral.
UACGGAGGUGGCGAGCGUUGUUCGGAAUUACUGGGCGUAAAGGGCGCGUAGGCGGGGGGAGAAGUCGGGUGUGAAAGCCCUCGGCUCAACCGAGGAACGGCGCUCGAGACUCUCUUUCUUGAGUCCCGGAGAGGCGGGUGGAAUUCCUGGUGUAGCGGUGAAAUGUGUAGAGAUCAGGAGGAACACCGGUGGCGUAAGCGGCCCGCUGGACGGAGACUGACGCUGAGGCGCGAAAGCGUGGGGAGCAAACGGG